CAGAGGUCCCAAGCGUUGUUCGGAUUUACUGGGCGUAAAGGGAGCGUGGGUGGCAUUCUAAGUCUGAUGUGAAAGCUCUGAGCUUAACUCAGAAAUGGCAUUAGAUACUAGUUUGCUCGAGGAUUGGAGGGGAGAUUGGAAUACUUGGUGUAGCAGUGAAAUGCGUAGAUAUCAAGUGGAACACCAGUGGCGAAGGCGAAUCUCUGGACAAUUCCUGACACUGAUGCUCGAAAGCUAGGGGAGCAAACGGGAUUAGAUACCCCGGUAGUCCUAGCUGUAAACGGUGCACGCUUGCUGUAGGUGGAAUCGACCCCGCCUGUAGCGAAGCUAACGCGUUAAGCGUGCCGCCUGGGAAGUACGGUCGCAAGAUUA
This 372-nucleotide ribosomal RNA is filed under the name uncultured organism. RNAcentral's name for it is "bacterial SSU rRNA". It matches the Rfam family "Bacterial small subunit ribosomal RNA", at positions 526 to 896 of the family's 1533-position model. The record is from RNAcentral.